RNAcentral lists this ribosomal RNA (482 nucleotides) under uncultured Acidobacteriota bacterium. Its description in RNAcentral is "bacterial SSU rRNA". It matches the Rfam family "Bacterial small subunit ribosomal RNA", at positions 8 to 522 of the family's 1533-position model. Lineage: Bacteria; Pseudomonadati; Acidobacteriota. The record is from RNAcentral.
AGAGUUUGAUCCUGGCUCAGAAUCAACGCUGGCGGCGCGCUUAACACAUGCAAGUCGCACGAGAAAGGGGAGCAAUCCCUGAGUACAGUGGCGUACGGGUGAGUAACACGUGGAUCAUCUACCUUCUAGUGGGGAAUAACCCAGGGAAACCGGGGCUAAUACCGCAUAAGCUCGAGAGAGGAAAGCAGCAAUGCGCUGGAAGAGGAGUCCGCGGCCGAUUAGCUAGUUGGCAGGGUAAAAGCCUACCAAGGCAUAGAUCGGUAGCCGGCCUGAGAGGGCACACGGCCACACUGGCACUGAAACACGGGCCAGACUCCUACGGGAGGCAGCAGUGGGGAAUCUUGCACAAUGGGGGAAACCCUGAUGCAGCGACGCCGCGUGAGCGAUGAAGCCCUUCGGGGUGUAAAGCUCUUUCGGCAGGGAAGAUUAUGACGGUACCUGCAGAAGCAGCUGCGGCUAACUACGUGCCAGCAGCCGCGGUA